RNAcentral lists this long non-coding RNA (1323 nucleotides) under Coffea arabica (coffee). RNAcentral describes it as "long non-coding RNA (CARA_LNC005236)". The record is from RNAcentral. Lineage: Eukaryota; Viridiplantae; Streptophyta; Magnoliopsida; Gentianales; Rubiaceae.
CAUAAGAACCAUCUAAUAUUAGAAUCAGCAAGUUCCCCAAGACAAAUAAGUAGAUGCAACAAAUUCCCAAAAAUGUACGGACGAAUAGGUUUCCCAUGAUUCAGAUAGAUAAUAGAGUAGUUCAAAAGGACAUUAUGUAUGUCCACUUAUUUAGUGAUAGUAAUAGUAGUAAAAUCUUUUAGAUGCUGUAAUAGGCAGCAUUCAGAUACGUUGCUACUUGGUGGUUUCUUCAUUUUGUUUUGCAGGGGUUGUACCACUGGUUCCUUCACUGGACUUUAUAGACGGUGAGGGUGCCAAAGUGGUUGAGCUGUCUCUUUUCUUUGUCUCCACUGCUUGUAUUGCAACAUCCAUUUGUGUUCCUUUAGAGUUGAGGUCCGGGUUGUCGGCAACUUCAGUUGUGCUUAUUGCACUUCCGGUAUUCCAAGAUGCAGAUGUUGUUCCGUAGUGACAAAUAUUAGAAAACCACACAAAUGACUUGAUACCCAGAAAGCUAACCUUAUUCCGGAAACCCCACCGAGAGCUUUUUCUUGUUGUUAUCCCGAACCUAUAACAUUAUAAGGAAACCAGUCAAAUUACAGAGGCCUUCUAAAUUUGUGAAAAAAUUGUAUGUUGCAGCUAAAUUACAAGGGUCAAGUGUCAAAUUUUAGGAAUUAAGCACACAUCGACGCCACACACGGCCCAAACCACCCACAUGAACGACAAAAUUGCGGGAAAAAUCUUAUUUCAAGCUGAACCACUAGGAGUAGCUGUGGCUAAAGAACAUUCUGAGAUGCUCGGUAGAAAAGCAUAAAAAAUAGCCCAAAUCCCAAAAUAUUAAAAGGAUGAAACUGAAGAAGACGAAAGAGGAGGCAUUGAAAUAAGCAUAAUCAAUGCGCAGGCAUUUGGGCAUUAACAUACAAACGCUUGGUUAUUUAAUUGAGGCUAUAAUGUCAAAGAAAUGGGGUCUUUCGGACAUGAGCUCGGAUGAGAGGGGAAAGGAAGAGGCAUGGAAAAUCCCAAUCCCUGAAGCUGAAAGGGGGGAAAUAAUAAACCCAUGUUUAUGGCUGUUAAAUUCAGGCAUAAAUGACAGCAAAAUAGUGGAGUUCACACCUGAGAGAGGAUGAAAAGACAAGCUGGGGAUCAGGACGGUAAAGCUAACAAUAUCAUGAGACAACAUCCAAAGAAUACAAAAACUAAUACCCAGAUGCAAACAUGAAGCUAUCCGGAAAGCUCAUGAAACAUUAGGCAACAGUGGCCAAGAACAGCGGGGAAAAAGGCUGUUCAAGUUACAGAUACAAACGGUUGUCUGUGAGAGCGGCCAAGACUCAUUUUAGACAAUUUCAG